Molecule: ribosomal RNA, 465 nt
Filed under: uncultured bacterium
Lineage: Bacteria
Description: partial 16S ribosomal RNA
Rfam family: Bacterial small subunit ribosomal RNA
Source: RNAcentral
CCUACGAGAGGCAGCAGUAGGGAAUUUUCGACAAUGGGCGCAAGCCUGAACGAGCGAUGCCGCGUGAGUGAAGAAGGCCUUCGGGUCGUAAAGCUCUGUCGCCGGGGAAAAAAGCCAGCAUUAGGAAAUGGGUGCUGACUGAUGGUGCCCCGGCAGAAAGCCACGGCCAACCACGUGACAGCAGCCGCGGUAAUACGUAGGUGGCGAGCGUUAACCGGAAUGAUUGGCCGUAGAGGGUGCGCAGCCGGUCCUGCAAGUCUGGUGUGAAGCGCAUGGGCCUAACUCAUGCAUGGCUUUGGCAACUGGUGGACUGGAGAGCAGGCGAGGUCGGUGGAACUCCAUGUGUAGCGGUAAAAUGCGUAGAUAUAUGGAAGAACACCAGUGGCGAAGGCGGCCGCCUGGACUGUUGCUGACGCUGAGGCACGAAAGCGUGGGGAGCAAAUAGGAUUAGAUACCCUAGUAGUC